GGGAGUAUAGCUUAAUGAAUAGAGCAUCCGGCUUCUACCCGGACGGUUGUAGGUUUAAGUCCUACUACUCCUG
Molecule: transfer RNA, 73 nt
Filed under: Dulcicalothrix desertica PCC 7102
Lineage: Bacteria; Bacillati; Cyanobacteriota; Cyanophyceae; Nostocales; Calotrichaceae
Also listed under: 3 other names
Description: Calothrix desertica PCC 7102 tRNA
Rfam family: tRNA
About the family: Transfer RNA (tRNA) molecules are approximately 80 nucleotides in length.
Source: Rfam by way of RNAcentral